RNAcentral lists this ribosomal RNA (404 nucleotides) under uncultured Eubacteriales bacterium. RNAcentral's name for it is "bacterial SSU rRNA". It matches the Rfam family "Bacterial small subunit ribosomal RNA", at positions 355 to 776 of the family's 1533-position model. The record is from RNAcentral. Lineage: Bacteria; Bacillati; Bacillota; Clostridia; Eubacteriales. RNAcentral also lists the same sequence under 1 other name.
UGGGGAAUAUUGCACAAUGGGCGAAAGCCUGAUGCAGCAACGCCGCGUGAGGGAAGACGGUUUUCGGAUUGUAAACCUCUGUCUUUGGUGAAGAUAAUGACGGUAGCCAAGGAGGAAGCCACGGCUAACUACGUGCCAGCAGCCGCGGUAAUACGUAGGUGGCAAGCGUUGUCCGGAAUUACUGGGUGUAAAGGGAGCGCAGGCGGGACUGCAAGUUGGAUGUGAAAUGUCGCGGCUUAACCGCGGAGCUGCAUCCAAAACUGUAGUUCUUGAGUGGAGUAGAGGUAGGCGGAAUUCCGAGUGUAGCGGUGAAAUGCGUAGAUAUUCGGAGGAACACCAGUGGCGAAGGCGGCCUACUGGGCUCUUACUGACGCUGAGGCUCGAAAGUGUGGGGAGCAAACAGG